GUUGUAUAGUCAAGUAAUUAAGUGCAUGUGGUGGAUGCCUUGGCAGUCAGAGGCGAUGAAAGACGUGAUAGCCUGCGAAAAGCUCCGGGGAGGCGGCAAAUAUCCUUUGAUCCGGAGAUGUCUGAAUGGGGGAACCCACCUACUUUAAGGUAGGUAUUGCAACAUGAAUACAUAGUGUUGCAAGGCGAACGAGGGGAAGUGAAACAUCUCAGUACCCUUAGGAAAAGAAAUCAAUUGAGAUUCCCUCAGUAGCGGCGAGCGAACGGGGAUCAGCCCAUUAAGUUAUGUGUGUUUUAGUGGAACGCUCUGGGAAGUGCGAACGUAGAGGGUGAUAUUCCCGUACACGAAAGGGCACACAUAAUGAUGACGAGUAGGGCGAGGCACGUGAAACCUUGUCUGAAUAUGGGGGGACCAUCCUCCAAGGCUAAAUACUCCUGACUGACCGAUAGUGAACCAGUACCGUGAGGGAAAGGCGAAAAGAACCCCUGUGAGGGGAGUGAAAUAGAUCCUGAAACCGCAUGCAUACAAGCAGUGGGAGCACCUUCGUGGUGUGACUGCGUACCUUUUGUAUAAUGGGUCAGCGACUUAUAUUCAGUAGCAGGUUAACCGUAUAGGGGAGCCGUAGAGAAAUCGAGUCUUAAUAGGGCGUUUAGUUGCUGGGUAUAGACCCGAAACCAGGCGAUCUAUCCAUGAGCAGGUUGAAGGUUGGGUAACACUAACUGGAGGACCGAACCCACUGUCGUUGAAAAGCCAGGGGAUGACUUGUGGAUAGGGGUGAAAGGCUAAUCAAGCCUGGUGAUAGCUGGUUCUCCCCGAAAGCUAUUUAGGUAGCGCCUCGGACGAAUACCAUAGGGGGUAGAGCACUGUUUCGGCUAGGGGGUCAUCCCGACUUACCAAACCGAUGCAAACUCCGAAUACCUAUGAGUACUAUCCGGGAGACAGACUGCGGGUGCUAACGUCCGUAGUCAAGAGGAAAACAAUCCAGACCGCCAGCUAAGGCCCCAAAAUCAUAGUUAAGUGGGAAACGAUGUGGGAAGGCAUAGACAGCUAGGAGGUUGGCUUAGAAGCAGCCACCCUUUAAAGAAAGCGUAAUAGCUCACUAGUCGAGUCGGCCUGCGCGGAAGAUGUAACGGGGCUAAAACUAUGUGCCGAAGCUGCGGAUGUAUACUUUGUAUACGUGGUAGGGGAGCGUUCUGUAAGCCGAUGAAGGUGUGUUGAGAAGCAUGCUGGAGGUAUCAGAAGUGCGAAUGCUGACGUGAGUAACGACAAAACGGGUGAAAAACCCGUUCGCCGAAAGACCAAGGGUUCCAGUCCAACGUUAAUCGGGGCUGGGUGAGUCGACCCCUAAGGCGAGGCCGAAAGGCGUAGUCGAUGGGAAAAUGGUUAAUAUUCCAUUACUUCUGUGUAAUGCGAUGAGAGGACGGAGAAGGCUAAAUCAGCCUGGCGUUGGUUGUCCAGGUGAAAGGAUGUAGGCAUGUAUCUUAGGCAAAUCCGGGGUACUCUAUGCUGAGAUCUGAUAGCAAGCUGUACUUGUACAGCGAAGUGGUUGAUGCCAUGCUUCCAGGAAAAGUCUCUAAGCUUCAGUUACACAGGAAUCGUACCCGAAACCGACACAGGUGGUCAGGUCGAGUAGACCAAGGCGCUUGAGAGAACUCUGCUGAAGGAACUAGGCAAAAUGGUACCGUAACUUCGGGAGAAGGUACGCUGUUGUUGGUGAUGGAACUCGCUUCCUGAGCUGACGACAGCCGCAGAAACCAGGCCGCUGCAACUGUUUAUUAAAAACAUAGCACUCUGCAAACACGAAAGUGGACGUAUAGGGUGUGAUGCCUGCCCGGUGCUGGAAGGUUAAUUGAUGGGGUUAGCGUAAGCGAAGCUCUUGAUCGAAGCCCCAGUAAACGGCGGCCGUAACUAUAACGGUCCUAAGGUAGCGAAAUUCCUUGUCGGGUAAGUUCCGACCUGCACGAAUGGCAUAAUGAUGGCGGCGCUGUCUCCAGCAGAGGCUCAGUGAAAUCGAAAUCGCUGUGAAGAUGCAGUGUACCCGCGGCUAGACGGAAAGACCCCGUGAACCUUUACUGCAGCUUGACACUGAACUUUGACCUUACUUGUGUAGGAUAGGUGGGAGGCUUUGAAGCUGGAACGCUAGUUCCAGUGGAGCCGUCCUUGAAAUACCACCCUGGUAAUGUUGAGGUUCUAACUCUGUCCCGUGAUCCGGGACGAGGACCGUGUCUGGUGGGUAGUUUGACUGGGGCGGUCUCCUCCUAAAGAGUAACGGAGGAGUACGAAGGUGCGCUCAGCGUGGUCGGAAAUCACGCGUAGAGUAUAAAGGCAAAAGCGCGCUUAACUGCGAGACCCACAAGUCGAGCAGGUACGAAAGUAGGUCUUAGUGAUCCGGUGGUUCUGUAUGGAAGGGCCAUCGCUCAACGGAUAAAAGGUACUCUGGGGAUAACAGGCUGAUACCGCCCAAGAGUUCAUAUCGACGGCGGUGUUUGGCACCUCGAUGUCGGCUCAUCUCAUCCUGGGGCUGAAGCAGGUCCCAAGGGUAUGGCUGUUCGCCAUUUAAAGAGGUACGCGAGCUGGGUUUAGAACGUCGUGAGACAGUUCGGUCCCUAUCUACCGUGGGCGCUGGAAAUUUGAGAGGAUCUGCUCCUAGUACGAGAGGACCAGAGUGGACGAACCUCUGGUGUACCGGUUGUGACGCCAGUCGCAUCGCCGGGUAGCUAUGUUCGGAAGGGAUAACCGCUGAAAGCAUCUAAGCGGGAAGCCUACCUCAAGAUAAGAUUUCCCUAGGACUUUAUGUCCUCUAAAGAGCCGUUCGAGACUAGGACGUUGAUAGGUUGGAUGUGGAAGCAUAGUGAUAUGUGAAGCUGACCAAUACUAAUUGCUCGUGAGGCUUGACUAUACAACACCCAAGCAGUUG
Molecule: ribosomal RNA, 2917 nt
Filed under: Acinetobacter baumannii
Lineage: Bacteria; Pseudomonadati; Pseudomonadota; Gammaproteobacteria; Moraxellales; Moraxellaceae
Description: 23S ribosomal RNA
Rfam family: Bacterial large subunit ribosomal RNA
Source: RNAcentral